Molecule: long non-coding RNA, 409 nt
Organism: Choloepus didactylus (southern two-toed sloth)
Lineage: Eukaryota; Metazoa; Chordata; Mammalia; Pilosa; Megalonychidae
Exons: 4
Source: RefSeq, a predicted model, not a curated record
GGCGGGGCCUGGACUCGGCGGGAUCGCUGUGGUGGUGUCUUGCUGCGAUGUUGGAUGUUAGGCUCUGGCUUUCCAGCAAAACAGCCAUGACAGCAGCCAGAGAAGCUUGAGUAGCCCACAGGUGAGAGGGAGCACUUGCACAGCCAUGGAGAAGAACUUCAACAGACAAUGACCAAGAAGGAAGUUUGUGAGGACUCCCAGUGAGGCUAAGAACUCCUUUAGAAAGCUCAGCCGUGGGGUGGGAUUCUCAGCACCUGGGCAUCCAAGGCCCCAACCCCACCAGAACGGACCACAGACUCUUCAGUUGACGAGUCCACCUGUUCUCGUGGCAUCAGAAGGACCCUGAAGGAGUGAGUGCCCAGCUGACAGCUCCCACUCGGCCAAGCCACUCCUUCCCAGCACCACCCCC